GACGAACGCUGGCGGCGUGCUUAACACAUGCAAGUCGAACGGACAGGCCCUGCUUUUGUGGGGUGCUCGAGUGGCGAACGGGUGAGUAACACGUGAGUAACCUGUCCUUGUAUUUGGGAUAUCUUCAGGAAACUGGGGCUCAUACCGGAUAGGAGCUCCUGCUGCAUGGUGGGGGUUGGUAAGAUUCGGCGGUUGGGGAUGGUCUCGCAGCUUAUGAGCUUGUUGGUGGGGUAGUGGCUUACCAAGGCUUUGACGGGUAGCCGGCCUGAGAGGGUGACCGGCCACAAUGGGACUGAGAGACGGCCCAGACGCCUACGGGAGGCAGCAGUGGGGAAUAUUGCACAAUGGGCGGAAGCCUGAGGCAGCAACGCCGCGUGCGGGAAGACGGCCUUCGGGUUGUAAACCACUUUCGCCUGUGACGAAGCGUGAGUGACGGUAAUGGGUAAAGAAGCACCGGCUAACUACGUG
This 468-nucleotide ribosomal RNA is filed under the name uncultured bacterium. RNAcentral describes it as "partial 16S ribosomal RNA". It matches the Rfam family "Bacterial small subunit ribosomal RNA", at positions 28 to 507 of the family's 1533-position model. The record is from RNAcentral.